GACGAAGGUGGCGACCGUUGUUCGGAAUCACUGGGCAUAAAGCGCGUGUAGGCGGCCUUGUAAGUCCGUUCUGAAAGCCCGGGGCUCAACCCCGGGAGGCGGAUGGAUACUGCAAGGCUCGAGUCCGGGAGAGGCGAGUGGAAUUCCCGGUGUAGCGGUGAAAUGCGCAGAUAUCGGGAGGAACACCAAUGGCGAAGGCAGCUCGCUGGGACGGUACUGACGCUGAGACGCGAAAGCGUGGGGAGCAAACAGG
RNAcentral lists this ribosomal RNA (253 nucleotides) under uncultured bacterium. Its description in RNAcentral is "partial 16S ribosomal RNA". It matches the Rfam family "Bacterial small subunit ribosomal RNA", at positions 524 to 776 of the family's 1533-position model. The record is from RNAcentral.